Molecule: ribosomal RNA, 1276 nt
Filed under: Triticum aestivum (bread wheat)
Lineage: Eukaryota; Viridiplantae; Streptophyta; Magnoliopsida; Poales; Poaceae
Description: partial small subunit ribosomal RNA
Source: RNAcentral
UUAGGUAGCCGGGCGUUCGCGUCCACAAUAGACCGGCCUCCGAGUUUCGGGUGUGUGAUAGGAGGGAAGCGAUGAAAGAGAGACUCUUUUUUCGGAAAGGAAUAGGAGAAAGGGAGCAGAUCUAGCCUAGACCACUUCGUCGCCGAUCCCUCCAGCUCCGCUCCGCCGCCUGGCCUGCUCGGACCUCUCGUCUAGUCGGCCGUUCGGCCUGGUCGUCGCAGCGGCAGAGGAGGAACGAGAAAGAUACUCGUCCUCGUCCCCAGCGGGUCGGCGGCGUCGGGGCUGCCCUUUCCCGGCGGCGCCAGGAGGAGAGCCGAUGCGCGAACCGGCGGCGCGAGGAGAUCGGUGGAGGGGCGCGGCGGGCGGCGCGGUUCAUGUGGGGCCGGCGGAGGACGUGAACGGAUGAGGACCGCUGCGCGCGGCGCGGAUCGUGCGCGGGCCGGCAAGGGGAGGACGACAGAGGAGAAUCGCUGCGUGCGGCGCCAGCCCUCCCGGACAAAGGGAUCCAGGGGUUGAGGCUGCCAGCUAAUGUCACGGUACAUCCACAACAACGACGUAUGAACCCACCCUCUAACUUGUAUACACGGUUGAAAGAAGACAGCCGUCUCUGGUUUUACCGACCUCUUCCUCUACACGGACUGUUACUUUGUCUCCCAAGACGUUUAGGCUAGAGUGCUGCCUUGAGUUUUUCCCGACGAUUCGCCGUCGGCGCACCGCUACUAUUCCUGCCCCUACCUCUCCCACUGCUACCACCCCUUUCUAAGGAGAAUCAUUUUAACGUCUCUUCUUUCCACGCGUGCCUCCGUCAUAGGUUUCCCCAUCUACGGUGUAGAAGACGUCGUCGGCGACUCCCCCACUCCCAUUACUUCCUCUAUUACGUCUUGCCGUCAGUGUUCGACCAUCCUAUUCCCGUAGUGGACCCUCCAACCACUUCAACUUGUUAUACAACUCGGGUAAUGUUUUCAGGGGGGAGACGGUGUUCGACAAACCUCCGGACCUAAGUACAACAUCAACGUGUGUAAAUGUCAUUUUCAACCGAAAUCUAAGUACAAAUCAACGUGUUUAUACACAAAAAAAAAAACGUGUCUGACGUGUGUAGGUACAGACACACACAACUAACGUGUGUAAAUGUCGUUUUCGACCGAAAACCUAGGUAUCAAUCAAACGUGUAGAGAAAAGAUCAGAACCGACAAACCAACGUGUGUUUCUUCCUUUUCAACCAAAACCUAGGUACAAAAUCAACCGUGUUUAUAUCCGAAGAUAAACGUGUGGACCG